CCUACGGGAGGCAGCAGUGGGGAAUUUUGGACAAUGGGCGAAAGCCUGAUCCAGCAAUGCCGCGUGAGUGAAGAAGGCCUUCGGGUUGUAAAGCUCUUUUGUCAGGGAAGAAACGGGUGUGGGCUAAUAUCCUGCACUAAUGACGGUACCUGAAGAAUAAGCACCGGCUAACUACGUGCCAGCAGCCGCGGUAAUACGUAGGGUGCAAGCGUUAAUCGGAAUUACUGGGCGUAAAGCGUGCGCAGGCGGUUUUGUAAGUCUGUCGUGAAAUCCCCGGGCUCAACCUGGGAAUUGCGAUGGAGACUGCAAGGCUAGAAUCUGGCAGAGGGGGGUAGAAUUCCACGUGUAGCAGUGAAAUGCGUAGAGAUGUGGAGGAACACCGAUGGCGAAGGCAGCCCCCUGGGGUCAAGAUUGACGCUCAUGCACGAAAGCGUGGGGAGCAAACAGGAUUAGAUACCCUGGUAGUCCACGCCCUAAACGAUGUCUACUAGUUGUCGGGUUUUAAUUAACUUGGUAACGCAGCUACGUCGUGAGUAAGACCGCCGUCGGGAGGUACGGUCGCGAGAAGUAAACGUAACGAAAGAAAGUAGUACGGCGUGAGACGUAGACGAGGACGACGACGAGGGAGGAGG
RNAcentral lists this ribosomal RNA (632 nucleotides) under uncultured bacterium. RNAcentral describes it as "bacterial SSU rRNA". The stretch from base 1 to 544 matches the Rfam family "Bacterial small subunit ribosomal RNA", at positions 338 to 873 of the family's 1533-position model. The record is from RNAcentral.